RNAcentral lists this ribosomal RNA (483 nucleotides) under uncultured bacterium. RNAcentral describes it as "bacterial SSU rRNA". It matches the Rfam family "Bacterial small subunit ribosomal RNA", at positions 28 to 507 of the family's 1533-position model. The record is from RNAcentral.
GAUGAACGCUAGCUACAGGCUUAACACAUGCAAGUCGAGGGGCAGCAUUGGAGUAGCAAUACUUCAGAUGGCGACCGGCGCACGGGUGAGUAACACGUAUCCAACCUGCCGCUUACUCGGGGAUAGCCUUUCGAAAGAAAGAUUAAUACCCGAUGGUAUAAAGAGUUCGCAUGUUCUCUUUAUUAAAGAAUUUCGGUAAGCGAUGGGGAUGCGUUCCAUUAGAUAGUUGGCGGGGUAACGGCCCACCAAGUCUACGAUGGAUAGGGGUUCUGAGAGGAAGGUCCCCCAAUUGGAACUGAGACACGGUCCAAACUCCUACGGGAGGCAGCAGUGAGGAAUAUUGGUCAAUGGACGAGAGUCUGAACCAGCCAAAGUAGCGUGAAGGAUGACUGCCCUAUGGGUUGUAAACUUCUUUUAUAAGGGAAUAAAGUGAGGGACGUGUCCUUUUGUAUGUACCUUAUGAAUAAGAUCGGCUAACUCGUG